AGUGUGGCUCAACGGUAGAGCAGCUGACUUGUAAUCAGCAGGUUGGGGGUUCGAUUCCCUUCACU
This 65-nucleotide transfer RNA is filed under the name chicken gut metagenome. It matches the Rfam family "tRNA". Rfam says of the family: Transfer RNA (tRNA) molecules are approximately 80 nucleotides in length. Their secondary structure includes four short double-helical elements and three loops (D, anti-codon, and T loops). The record is from RNAcentral.